UACAGAGGGUGCAAGCGUUGUUCGGAUUUACUGGGCGUAAAGCGCGUGUAGGCGGAUGGGUAAGACAGAUGUGAAAUCCCCGGGCUCAACCUGGGAAUGGCAUUUGUGACUGUUCGGCUAGAGUGUGUCAGAGGGGGGUAGAAUUCCACGUGUAGCAGUGAAAUGCGUAGAGAUGUGGAGGAAUACCGAUGGCGAAGGCAGCCCCCUGGGAUAACACUGACGCUCAUGCACGAAAGCGUGGGGAGCAAACAGG
RNAcentral lists this ribosomal RNA (253 nucleotides) under uncultured bacterium. RNAcentral's name for it is "partial 16S ribosomal RNA". It matches the Rfam family "Bacterial small subunit ribosomal RNA", at positions 524 to 776 of the family's 1533-position model. The record is from RNAcentral.